This 138-nucleotide ribosomal RNA is filed under the name uncultured eukaryote. Its description in RNAcentral is "partial 18S ribosomal RNA". It matches the Rfam family "Eukaryotic small subunit ribosomal RNA", at positions 1299 to 1458 of the family's 1831-position model. The record is from RNAcentral.
UGGUGGGUUGCCUUGUCAGGUUGAUUCCGGUAACGAACGAGACCUCAGCUUGCUAACUAGUCACGCGUGCUCCGGCACGCGGCGGACUUCUUAGAGGGACUAUUGGCGAUUAGCCAGCGGAAGCAUGAGGCAAUAACA